Oncorhynchus tshawytscha (Chinook salmon) is the source of this 95-nucleotide long non-coding RNA. RefSeq lists it as uncharacterized. Lineage: Eukaryota; Metazoa; Chordata; Actinopteri; Salmoniformes; Salmonidae. The transcript is spliced from 3 exons. The record is from RefSeq and is a predicted model, not a curated record.
GGCUACCUGGUUGAUCCUGCCAGUAGCAUAUGCUUGUCUCAAAGAUUAAGCCAUGCAAGUCUAAGUAGACAUGGCCGGAGAUCGGAAGAGCAAAU